Molecule: long non-coding RNA, 1973 nt
Filed under: Astyanax mexicanus (Mexican tetra)
Lineage: Eukaryota; Metazoa; Chordata; Actinopteri; Characiformes; Acestrorhamphidae
Description: lncRNA (ENSAMXG00005020990.1)
Source: RNAcentral
CAUGGCUCUGCUGUUGUAUAUAAGUUGUAUUUCUUUAUCUGUAUAUCCUGAUUUACUAUGCAUAGUGCUGUAGUGUCCAGUCUGCAUGUAAACACUGUCACUGCAGAAAUAGAAGCAAUACGAGUGUCCGAUAUCAUUUCCUCAGUCAGAGUGCGUGUGUGUGUGUGUGAGCCUAUAGCCACAAAGGAAAGCGAAAGGAAAACGGAAAGACCCCGAUUUUUUCCCUCAUCAUCGAUCCAGGAAACGUGGUUUCCAGGAAAGACAAACACACUGUGAUGUCAGCCUUUCUUUACAAGAGAGCAUGCUCCUCAGUGCAGCAGACAAAAGCACUGCUCUGCCCCGAGGAAAGAGGACUAUCAGAACAGACCACGGCCAUCUGGACUCAAUCAGAAGAACAGGGUGUGUUUUACGAAAGAGCUGGCAGCUAUGAAACAGCGGCGGCACAGUUCAUUGACUGAUCCUCAGUAGGAGCCGAUUCUGCUCAUCGCUAAUCAUUAACUUUGGCUGAGGAAGAUCACAGGCGAUCAUUCCAGAGUUGAGCAGAGCCAAGACCGACUGAGAGGAACAUCUUUUACUAUCAGUUCUGCCUGUGUUUUGAAAGUCUCAGAAAGUGAAAGUAAGAGAGAACAUGCAACCCUAUACCACUCUCCCUCUCCUGGCUGUGCUCAUCACUGUGGUAAAUGGAGGUGAAAUCCAGGUGGAGCUGAGGACUGAAAAGUCUGUGUCGAAUGACUGUCACGAAAACGCUACUCUUCAUUGUAUCAUCAUAUCAAAAGGCAGCGAUUUCAUGGUUUUUGGGCUAUACUGGGAGAAUAAGACUGGAGAACAACUCUGCAACUAUAAAACAUCCGAAGGAGUACACUCUGAUCCUCGCAUCCAGUGCCAUUAUACGCCUGGAAAACUGUCCCUCACCAUCUCCAAUCUAUCUGAAGCUGAUCGGGGACAGUACAGCUGCAAAUUGUUUACAAACUUCAAUCAUACAAAGGCUGACACCACCCUGCAUGUCUCAGACUGUCCUGUGGAACCAGUAGAGUCCUUAAGGACAUCAUUCUCUGUCAGGACGGUGCCCAACCACGCCAGCCCUUUACAUACGAAAUGGACAUUCUUGGUGCUAACAGCGUUCAUACUCACCCUUUAAUACCAGGCAGCUUUCGGACAAUCUGGACUAGAGCAGAUUCCAGUGUGCUACUGAUUUUGAAUAAGAAACCUGAUUGUUGAUGUUUUUUUCCUAGCAUUUGUGCAUUUGUGUUCGUACUCAAUCCUUUACCAACCAAUCAGUGAAACCCACUCUCAAAAACAGAUUCAAGUGGAAGUGGGGAUCAAAUUGUGCAAUUUGUUGAAAUUAGGGCUUAUUGUUCUUUCUUUGGAAUCCAGGAGCACUGUGGGAAUGCAUAACAAACGAAUCUGCCCAAAAUGUGAACUCUGAUUUGUGCCAGAAUUAUCAAAAUGUUUGAUUUUUUUGUAUUUUUCUGCUAUGAUGUAAACAUUUUUUUAUGUAAAUACACCUCAACACACACAUAUACACUUACCACUUUCCAGGACGUUACGUACAGAUUGAGCAUAUAUUUCAAAAAUAUGCACAUAUAUAUCCUAUACAUAUGUUUAACUAUCAUUUAACGGAAACACAUGCCAGAAACACAUACGGUAUGUAACAGUGUAUUGGCCUGCAAACACGUAUGUACAUACAUAUAUGUAAUAAGCAAAUUAAUGAAAAAAAAAUAUUAAAAUGCAUAUAUGUUAAAAUGUAUGAUACAUAACUCCGCUGUCCUUCACUGGAAUGCAUUACUGUUUUUAUUAUGUAUGUUUGUUUGUUUUUUUUACAUUAAUUGUUUUUUUACGUGAUGUAAAAUCUUUUUGCACUAGCUUCCAUUCAAAGUUUUUCAAAAUCUUUUGAUUUCUUAUUUUGAUGUUUUUUUAUAGAUGAGAUGUUAUUAUUAAAUAAAUGUGUCAUUCAUAUAUGUUUUUGUAUAUAC